UAAGCAUAUCAAUAAGCGGAGGAAAAGAAACUAACAAGGAUUCCCCUAGUAACUGCGAGUGAAGCGGGAAAAGCUCAAAUUUAAAAUCUGGCGGUCUUUGGCCGUCCGAGUUGUAGUCUGGAGAAGUGCUUUCCGCGCUGGACYGUGUACAAGUCUCUUGGAACAGAGCGUCAUAGAGGGUGAGAAUCCCGUCUUUGACACGGACUACCAGUGCUUUGUGAUGCGCUCUCAAAGAGUCGAGUUGUUUGGGAAUGCAGCUCAAAAUGGGUGGUAAAUUCCAUCUAAAGCUAAAUAUUGGCGAGAGACCGAUAGCGAACAAGUACCGUGAGGGAAAGAUGAAAAGCACUUUGGAAAGAGAGUUAAACAGUACGUGAAAUUGCUGAAAGGGAAACGCUUGAAGUCAGUCGCGUUGGCCAGGACUCAGCCUUGCUUUUCGCUUGGUGCAUUUUCUGGUUGACGGGCCAGCAUCGAUUUUGACCACUGGAAAAAGGCUAGGGGAAUGUGGCACCUUCGGGUGUGUUAUAGCCCUUAGUCACAUACAGUGGUUGGGAUCGAGGACCGCAGCACGCCUUUAUGGCCGGGGUUCGCCCACGUUCGUGCUCAGGAUGCUGGCGUAAUGGCUUUAAACGACCCGUCUUGAAACACGGACCAAGGAGUCUAACAUGCCUGCGAGUGUUUGGGUGGAAAACCCGAGCGCGUAAUGAAAGUGAAAGUUGAGAUCCCUGUCGUGGGGAGCAUCGACGCCCGGACCUGAACUUCGGUGAUGGAUCUGCGGUAGAGCAUGUAUGUUGGGACCCGAAAGAUGGUGAACUAUGCCUGAAUAGGGUGAAGCCAGAGGAAACUCUGGUGGAGGCUCGUAGCGAUUCUGACGUGCAAAUCGAUCGUCAAAUUUGGGUAUAGGGGCGAAAGACUAAUCGAACCAUCUAGUAGCUGGUUCCUGCCGA
RNAcentral lists this ribosomal RNA (944 nucleotides) under Fomitopsis palustris. Its description in RNAcentral is "partial large subunit ribosomal RNA". It matches the Rfam family "Eukaryotic large subunit ribosomal RNA", at positions 35 to 964 of the family's 3401-position model. Lineage: Eukaryota; Fungi; Basidiomycota; Agaricomycetes; Polyporales; Fomitopsidaceae. The record is from RNAcentral.